UGUAUUUCGCCUGACAACAAGAAGCAGCUUAAAAAAAUUUCAGAUUUUUGUUUACUUAGUACUAUGUUGCAUUGACAGAAUAUGGCAGAAGCUACAGAUGGGAAAAUCAGCAAACAGCUUCUUAAGACUAGAAGUGGGGAGUUUGAUGUAGAGAGUAUACAUUCACUUUGUCUCCGAGAGGCUGGUAUAGAUGAUCUGGGAUGUAUUAGUGAGUGUCUUAGUUUGGAGAGGUUGGAUUUGUCGAGAAACAUCAUUUCAAAACUGCACAAACUAGCUGGACUCACAAACCUGCAUACCCUGAACCUGUCCGGGAAUAACAUCACAUCUCUAGAAGGUCUGCAAGCUUUGGAUAAUCUGAAAACCCUGAACCUGGCAGGAAAUUUAAUCGGAAGUCUUGAAUCUCUGCGAUGUCUGACCGGGUUAGAAAAUCUGCAGGAACUGAGACUCAAGGAUGUCAUCCACAGCCUGUCGAACCCCGUGUGUCAGAACGUCGACUACCGCGCUGAAAUGAUCUCAAUGUUCCCCAAUCUCAGUGUUCUAGAUGGAGAGAGGUUAAAAGGAAAGGGGAGUGAACUCUAUGCCAUGUGCCGGGAACUGGACAGAGCUUUAGAAGCUUGUGAUGAUGAACCAUCAAUAGUUGCUCCAGCAACCAAGUGGUUCUCAGAUGAUGUUUUGACUCUACAGAUACCAAGAAAAUUUCAGCAGUCAAAUCUGUAUGAUGCCGAGGAACAGUUGAAAGGUGACACAGAUUUUGCCGUACAGUGACUGGCAUGGCGAAGUCAGGCUGGUCAGAGCGAAGUGAGCCCUGCCAUGAUGCAGACUGUAAACCCUCCCAGAUUCCGCAGGAGACUCCUGGUAUUUGAUCAAGUCUCCCACAGGCCUACUUGCUGGCUGCAGAAGAACGAGCGAAGAGGCAGAUGCCAGACUUGUACAGCUACAGUCUGAAUUCAAGUCAUGACCAUCAGAGAAAUUCAAACCAUGUCCAAAGAUUAUUACAAAACAACAAAAAUAGCCCUUAAUGUUUGACAUUUAAUGGUUUGGAGGAAAUAAAACACUCAUGAUACUUGAUUAGUUUUGCUUCAUAUAGAAAUAGAUGUAACGCCUAGACAGUUCAGAGUGUGGGAAAAAAGCAAGGAACGAAAAACCACAAGAUGUUUUUAUUGAUGUCUGAGAACAUGUCCUCCAGGAAUGUUUUUAAUUAUGGGGUUUUUUCCCCUCUCAUUCCACUUCAUCCAUUCAUUUCUCUACUUUGAAUUAUAUAUUUUUAUCCUCAUCUGGCAGCUCCUAUUUCUAUUUUCAGUGUCCAACUUCACAUUCCAGUCCUUGUCUCCAACUACAUUAGAUGGUUGUCUCAUAUGGCCAUCCGUACGACAAACCUGCCAAUACUUAAUUUAAGACAAAAUAUUAAUGCUGGGCUAAAAGUGUAAAUUGGUUGAAGGUGCUGUGCAGUAAUUUGGAGGGGUGGGUAGUUGCUCCUGGUACUGUAAAGGUGUCUGCCCAUCACUAUAGAAACAGAUUUCACCACAUAACCAAUCUAUCCAAGCAGCCACCUCUUUUAUUGUGUUUUCUUGUGAAUUCUCACCCCUGUAACUUUUCUUCUUCAACUCGCUCCAGCCAGUGCACCAUGACUGACAUCUCAAAGACUGUGGUAUGUGCUAUCCUGUUUUCGGAAUGGUGCAUAUAAAAGAUCCCUUGCUACUAAUGGAAAAAUGUGGUGGGUUUCCUUUCUUCGACUACCAAAUGUUUGACAUCCAACAGCUGAUGAUUAAUAAAUCAGUGCUUUAGUGGUGUUAUUAAACAAAACUUUUAUAUAUUUCUUUAAGGGGCAUUUGACAUAGUGAUAAUAAGAUGGGAGAAGAAAGCUCCAGAUACUCGUCUAUUUAUUUAAGCAUAAUAUACAUUAAAUUAUUGACUAACAAGUGUUUGUGGUAAAUCUUUUUAUAUUUAAUUGUGUAUUGAACCAGAAAUGUGCAAGCAGAAUAAAAUGUGAGAAAGAAUGAAA
Molecule: RNA transcript, 2002 nt
Organism: Gigantopelta aegis
Lineage: Eukaryota; Metazoa; Mollusca; Gastropoda; Neomphalida; Peltospiridae
Gene name: leucine-rich repeat-containing protein 61-like
Exons: 9
Source: RefSeq, a predicted model, not a curated record